This 508-nucleotide ribosomal RNA is filed under the name uncultured bacterium. RNAcentral's name for it is "partial 16S ribosomal RNA". It matches the Rfam family "Bacterial small subunit ribosomal RNA", at positions 28 to 523 of the family's 1533-position model. The record is from RNAcentral.
GAUGAACGCUAGCUACAGGCUUAACACAUGCAAGUCGAGGGGAAACGAUAUUGGAAGCUUGCUUCCGAUAGGCGUCGACCGGCGCACGGGUGAGUAACGCGUAUCCAACCUGCCCACCACUUGGGGAUAACCCUGCGAAAGUAAGACUAAUACCCAAUGACGUCUCUAGAAGACAUCUGAAAGAGAUUAAAGAUUUAUCGGUGAUGGAUGGGGAUGCGUCUGAUUAGCUUGUUGGCGGGGUAACGGCCCACCAAGGCGACGAUCAGUAGGGGUUCUGAGAGGAAGGUCCCCCACAUUGGAACUGAGACACGGUCCAAACUCCGACGGGAGGCAGCAGUGACGAAUAUGGGUCAAUGGGCGAGAGCCUGAACCAGCCAAGUAGCGUGCAGGAUGACGGCCCUAUGGGUUGUAAACUGCUUUUAUAAGGGAAUAAAGUGAGUCUCGUGAGACUUUUUGCAUGUACCUUAUGAAUAAGGACCGGCUAAUUCCGUGCCAGCCGCCGCCGUAA